UACAGAGGGUGCGAGCGUUAAUCGGAUUUACUGGGCGUAAAGGGUGCGUAGGUGGCAAUGUAAGUAAGAUGUGAAAGCCCUGGGCUUAACCUGGGAAGUGCAUCUUAAACUACAUAGCUAGAGUAUGGUAGAGGGUAGUGGAAUUUCCGGUGUAGCGGUGAAAUGCGUAGAGAUCGGAAGGAACGCCAGUGGUGAAGACGACUACCUGGACCAAUACUGACACUGAGGCACGAGAGCGUGGGGAGCGAACAGG
Molecule: ribosomal RNA, 253 nt
Filed under: uncultured bacterium
Lineage: Bacteria
Description: partial 16S ribosomal RNA
Rfam family: Bacterial small subunit ribosomal RNA
Source: RNAcentral